GCGGAGGAAAAGAAACCAACAGGGAUUGCCCCAGUAACGGCGAGUGAAGCGGCAACAGCUCAAAUUUGAAAUCUGGCCCCCCGGGCCCGAGUUGUAAUUUGAAGAGGAUGCUUCUGGCAAGGUGCCGUCCGAGUUCCCUGGAACGGGACGCCGCAGAGGGUGAGAGCCCCGUACGGUCGGACGCCGAGCCUCUGUGAAGCUCCUUCGACGAGUCGAGUAGUUUGGGAAUGCUGCUCAAAAUGGGAGGUAAACCCCUUCUAAAGCUAAAUACCGGCCAGAGACCGAUAGCGCACAAGUAGAGUGAUCGAAAGAUGAAAAGCACUUUGAAAAGAGAGUUAAAAAGCACGUGAAAUUGUUGAAAGGGAAGCGCUUGCGACCAGACUCGCGCCCGUCGGAUCAGCCGUCGCUCGUCGGCGGUGCACUCCGGCGGGCUCGGGCCAGCAUCAGUUCGCCUCGGGGGGAGAAAGGCGGCGGGAAUGUGGCUCUACGGAGUGUUA
Molecule: ribosomal RNA, 497 nt
Filed under: Microascus pyramidus
Lineage: Eukaryota; Fungi; Ascomycota; Sordariomycetes; Microascales; Microascaceae
Description: eukaryotic LSU rRNA
Rfam family: Eukaryotic large subunit ribosomal RNA
Source: RNAcentral